RNAcentral lists this ribosomal RNA (497 nucleotides) under uncultured bacterium. RNAcentral's name for it is "partial 16S ribosomal RNA". It matches the Rfam family "Bacterial small subunit ribosomal RNA", at positions 28 to 507 of the family's 1533-position model. The record is from RNAcentral.
GAUGAACGCUGGCGGCGUGCCUAAUACAUGCAAGUCGAGCGAACGGACGAGAAGCUUGCUUCUCUGAUGUUAGCGGCGGACGGGUGAGUAACACGUGGAUAACCUACCUAUAAGACUGGGAUAACUUCGGGAAACCGGAGCUAAUACCGGAUAAUAUUUUGAACCGCAUGGUUCAAAAGUGAAAGACGGUCUUGCUGUCACUUAUAGAUGGAUCCGCGCUGCAUUAGCUAGUUGGUAAGGUAACGGCUUACCAAGGCAACGAUGCAUAGCCGACCUGAGAGGGUGAUCGGCCACACUGGAACUGAGACACGGGCCAGACUCCUACGGGAGGCAGCAGUAGGGAAUCUUCCGGAAUGGGCGAAAGCCUGACGGAGCAACGCCGCGUGAGUGAUUAAGGGUUUCGGAUCGUAAAACCCUUUUAUUAGGGAAGAAAAUAUGUGGAAGGAACUGUGCACAACCUGAAGGUACCUAAUCAGAAAGCCACGGCUAAAUACGUG